CCCCAUAGAGUGGACAGGCCAAGCCGCUGUGCAGGCAGCUCCAUCCCAGCCGGCUCUUGGGCUGUCCGCCUUGUGGGGG
Bos indicus x Bos taurus (hybrid cattle) is the source of this 79-nucleotide microRNA precursor. The record is from Ensembl. NCBI's taxonomy places the organism in Eukaryota, Metazoa, Chordata, Mammalia, Artiodactyla, Bovidae.